RNAcentral lists this ribosomal RNA (520 nucleotides) under uncultured bacterium. Its description in RNAcentral is "bacterial SSU rRNA". It matches the Rfam family "Bacterial small subunit ribosomal RNA", at positions 988 to 1509 of the family's 1533-position model. The record is from RNAcentral.
CCAGAGAACUUUCCAGAGAUGGAUGGUGCCUUCGGGAACUCUGAGACAGGUGCUGCAUGGCUGUCGUCAGCUCGUGUUGUGAAAGUGUUGGGUUAAGUCCCGCAACGAGCGCAACCCUUAUCCUUGUUGCCAGCGGUUAGGCCGGGAACUCAAAGGAGACUGCCAGUGAUAAACUGGAGGAAGGUGGGGAUGACGUCAAGUCAUCAUGGCCCUUACGAGUAGGGCUACACACGUGCUACAAUGGCGCAUACAAAGAGAAGCGACCUCGCGAGAGCAAGCGGACCUCAUAAAGUGCGUCGUAGUCCGGAUUGGAGUCUGCAACUCGACUCCAUGAAGUCGGAAUCGCUAGUAAUCGUAGAUCAGAAUGCUACGGUGAAUACGUUCCCGGGCCUUGUACACACCGCCCGUCACACCAUGGGAGUGGGUUGCAAAAGAAGUAGGUAGCUUAACCUUCGGGAGGGCGCUUACCACUUUGUGAUUCAUGACUGGGGUGAAGUCGUAACAAGGUAAGCGUAGUGCU